This 253-nucleotide ribosomal RNA is filed under the name uncultured bacterium. RNAcentral's name for it is "partial 16S ribosomal RNA". It matches the Rfam family "Bacterial small subunit ribosomal RNA", at positions 524 to 776 of the family's 1533-position model. The record is from RNAcentral.
UACAGAGGGUGCAAGCGUUAAUCGGAAUUACUGGGCGUAAAGCGUGCGUAGACGGUUACAUAAGUCGGGUGUGAAAGCCCCGGGCUCAACCUGGGAAUUGCAUUCGAGACUGCGUAGCUAGGGUGCGGAAGAGGGAAGCGGAAUUUCCGGUGUAGCGGUGAAAUGCGUAGAUAUUGGGAAGAACACCGGUGGCGAAGGCGGCGACCUGGUCCGACACUGACGCUGAGGCGCGAAAGCCAGGGGAGCAAACAGG